RNAcentral lists this ribosomal RNA (254 nucleotides) under uncultured bacterium. RNAcentral describes it as "partial 16S ribosomal RNA". It matches the Rfam family "Bacterial small subunit ribosomal RNA", at positions 524 to 776 of the family's 1533-position model. The record is from RNAcentral.
UACGUAGGCAGCGAGCGUUGUUCGGAGUUACUGGGCGUAAAGGGUGUGUAGGCGGUUGUUUAAGUUUGGUGUGAAAUCUCCCGGCUCAACCGGGAGGGUGCGCCGAAUACUGAAUGACUUGGAGUGCGGGAGAGGAAAGUGGAAUUCCUGGUGUAGCGGUGAAAUGCGUAGAGAUGUGGAGGAACACCGAUGGCGAAGGCAGCCUUCUGGGCCAACACUGACGCUCAUGCACGAAAGCGUGGGGAGCAAACAGG